Molecule: ribosomal RNA, 500 nt
Filed under: uncultured bacterium
Lineage: Bacteria
Description: partial 16S ribosomal RNA
Rfam family: Bacterial small subunit ribosomal RNA
Source: RNAcentral
ACUCAAAGGAAUUGACGGGGGCCCGCACAAGCGGUGGAGCAUGUGGUUUAAUUCGACGCAACGCGAAGAACCUUACCUACUCUUGACAUCCUCGGAAUUUUGCAGAGAUGCGAAAGUGCCUUCGGGACCCGGGAGACAGGUGCUGCAUGGCUGUCGUCAGCUCGUGUCGUGAGAUGUUGGGUUAAGUCCCGUAACGAGCGCAACCCUUAUCAUUAGUUGCCAGCGAGUAGUGUCGGGAACUCUAAUGAGACUGCCGGUGAUAAGCCGGAGGAAGGCGGGGACGACGUCAAGUCAUCAUGGCCCUUACGAGUAGGGCUACACACGUGCUACAAUGGGCGGUACAGAGGGAAGCGAAGCAGCGAUGUGGAGCGAAUCUUUUGAAAGCCGCUCGUAGUCCGGAUUGGAGUCUGCAACUCGACUCCAUGAAGUUGGAAUCGCUAGUAAUCGCAGAUCAGAACGCUGCGGUGAAUACGUUCUCGGGCCUUGCACACACCGCCCGU